CCUACGGGCGGCAGCAGUGAGGAAUAUUGGUCAAUGGACGAGAGUCUGAACCAGCCAAGUAGCGUGAAGGAUGACUGCCCUAUGGGUUGUAAACUUCUUUUAUAUGGGAAUAAAAUGUUCCACGUGUGGGAUUUUGUAUGUACCAUAUGAAUAAGGAUCGGCUAACUCCGUGCCAGCAGCCGCGGUAAUACGGAGGAUCCGAGCGUUAUCCGGAUUUAUUGGGUUUAAAGGGAGCGUAGGUGGAUUGUUAAGUCAGUUGUGAAAGUUUGCGGCUCAACCGUAAAAUUGUAGUUGAAACUGGCAGUCUUGAGUACAGUAGAGGUGGGCGGAAUUCGUGGUGUAGCGGUGAAAUGCUUAGAUAUCACGAAGAACUCCGAUUGCGAAGGCAGUUCACUGGACUGCAACUGACACUGAGGCUCGAAAGUGUGGGUAUCAAACAGGAUUAGAUACCCGUGUAGUC
Molecule: ribosomal RNA, 460 nt
Filed under: uncultured bacterium
Lineage: Bacteria
Description: partial 16S ribosomal RNA
Rfam family: Bacterial small subunit ribosomal RNA
Source: RNAcentral